GCAGUUGUGGCCGAGUGGUUAAAGCGAUGGACUAGAAAUCCACUGGGUGUCCCCGCACAGGUUCGGCUCCUGUCGAUUUCA
This 81-nucleotide transfer RNA is filed under the name Ixodes scapularis (black-legged tick). It matches the Rfam family "tRNA". Rfam says of the family: Transfer RNA (tRNA) molecules are approximately 80 nucleotides in length. Their secondary structure includes four short double-helical elements and three loops (D, anti-codon, and T loops). Lineage: Eukaryota; Metazoa; Arthropoda; Arachnida; Ixodida; Ixodidae. The record is from Rfam by way of RNAcentral.